Gorilla gorilla gorilla (western lowland gorilla) is the source of this 2475-nucleotide long non-coding RNA. RefSeq lists it as uncharacterized. NCBI's taxonomy places the organism in Eukaryota, Metazoa, Chordata, Mammalia, Primates, Hominidae. The transcript is spliced from 3 exons. The record is from RefSeq and is a predicted model, not a curated record.
GGAGGAAAGGGGCAUUGAGGGUUUGUAUAGGGAGAAUUGAAAUUUAAAUAGGGUGGCAGUAGAAGACUUUACAUAUAGGAGACAUUUGAGCAAAAAUCAUACACAGUUGAUGAGCAAGCCAUGUGGAUAUCGGGGGCACUGAACACUUCCUGUCACCAAACGUUCAGGGAGGGACAAUGAGGCCGUUGUGGGAGCGAGGAGAACAAGGAGAGAGGCACAAAAUAUGCCUUGAGACCGUUAAAGGGAUGGGAAUGGGGAAGAUCGUUUGGUCUUGCAGGCAAUUGAAAGAACGUCCCCUGAGGAAGAGGAGAAGCCACGGACACCUUUAAACAGAGCAACGAGUUGUAUCAUUUUAAAACAUCAACUUUAAUUCCCACGUUGAAAAUAACUUUCAGGUGGGAACAGGGAAGCAAGAGGCUUCUCCGUAAUAAUCAAGGUGGCACAGAAAUGAGGAGGAAAAUACGUGGAGCCUGGUUCAGGGAUCAAACACAGUCAUCACAGAAAUAAACAUGAAGUGUUCUCCUGGCCAGGAAGACAAGGGAGAUCUCUGAGGAAGUAACAGUAGAGUUAAAAUUUGAAGGUAAACAGCAGUGAUAUCAUUCCAGGAGAAGAAAGCAGAUAGUGGAGGGAGCACAGGACUUGAAAUGGAAGACAGAUUUCAAGCCAGCAUUUCCACUUGUGAGCUGUGGAAUUAACUGCACUUCAGUCUCUAAAGACUGUAAGCCUGUGGGCACUGUACUUUUCUGAGCCUCAGUUUGAUUUUGUUGUCUUUUGUUUGUGAGUUUAUUGUUAUUAUAAUCAAAUGCAUCUCAUAGCAAUCCUGGGAGAAAUAUAUUCGAAAGCAGUUUAAAGCGCAAAAUGCAAAAUGAAAGUUAGUUAUUAUUGAUAGCAGUAAGUAGAAAGUGAAGCUGGAGUUUGAGAGAGGAAAUUGUUAUAUCUGUGGAGUAGAUAUCUUUGUUACCGUUUUGUUCAAAUGAGGAAAACAGGUUUUAGAGAGGUUAAAGGUUAUGCAUUUAAUUAGAAAACAUGCAAAUAUCAGUAAAAGUCACCUUCGUUCAUUUGGCUGCUCCAAUCAAAAGACAUGGACUCAACCUUGACUCUUAUAUACAUGUAUGAAUAUAUUUAGUUUUUUAUAUAUAUAAACAAAAUUUAAUCCAAAUCUUAUAAGCUGUAUCCUCAAAAUAUAUCACACAUUAACUCCCUCGCAUCACCCCCAUCUGCCUUAUGCCCAAACCAUCAUUGCCUUGUUCCCUGCGGCAGCCAAAGGGAUUUUUUAAAAUAAAACUGACAGCCUUGCAACCAUACUUGAAAUUUCCAAUGACUUCAUCUUACACUGAGCAAAAAACGUCAAUCUUAAUUUUGUCCUAAAGGAUUGAAAGCAAGUCUCCUCACUAACUCCCUUGUCCCUGCCCCUGAUUCCCACCACUUCAGCCUCACUGGUUUCCUUGUACUGUGUACAUGGCAUUCUAAACUGGUCUAAAAAUAAUCUUUUAAUUAAACCUGAGCAUCCCAUUAAAGACAAAACAUACACUUCUGCUUUCUAUAUUUUUAUUAUUUUACUCUUCUUUUUCCUCUUAAUAAUGCUUUUUGCUAUCUGACAAUGCAUUCUAAUCUAAUGUAUGUCAUUGCUAGUUCUUUCUUCCUCCCACUAGAUUGUAAAUACCCAGGAACAAGGAACAAUUUAAUCUUGGCUGGUUUUCCAGCACCUUGGAGAGCACCUACCUCAUAGUAGGUAUAUUGGGUAAACAUUCAUUGAAUGAACAAAUUAGAAGAGCUGGAUAUUCAAACCCAGGUCAGUUUCACUCCAGUGCUCCUGUUCAUAACCAUUUUUGCACACUACUUUUAGUAGAUAUAUCAAACUAAAUAAAAUAAAUUAAAUACAGAUAUUCUCAGAUCUAAGGAAGUAUGUACCAUCUGGUAUGAUAUGGGUGUUGCCUUGUUACAAUUUCCAUUUAUAAACUCAUCCAAUUAAUUACAUGACAAGUUGAAGAAAUGGAACUAGCCAGCUGUCUCAUAAAUGUGCUUCUUUCUUGGCAUUGAUAUUCAAAACUAAAAUAUACCUGUCCUACCUCUAUCUAUGAGAGGUUUCUAAAAAGUAAUUUGUGUUUAGUUUUUUUCAUUAUGGAGCUUUUACUUCUUCAAUACUAUAUUAGAUAACUUAACAUUUUUCAUAUUGUUAAAUAGCAAAUACUAUUAAAUAAAUUAUUAAUUAAACUAAUUUUGUGCUUCAGAAAGAGAUACAGGCGAGCUUUCCUUUAUGCAUUUUUAAAAGUACAUGUGUUUGUAAUUUUGCCAAAAUACUGAUAUACUGAAUAUACAGAAAUAUGUCAAAUGUAACUAGGUUGCUGUAACAUAUGCUUUCAUAAAAUGAUUUUUACAUAUUAUUUGUUCAGACAGCACAAUACUUCUUUUAGUUAAUUAAUGUAUGCUCACUCAGUUUAAUUAAAGGACAACUGAAAGCAGGUUGGGGCAGGG